GGGGAAUGAUUUUUAUCCUCACGCUGAAAAUGUUGUCCAUUAUUGUGAGAGAGAGUGGCGAAGUGGAGAGGCUGAGCUGAAUACAGAUGGCUGUGGGGGUUAGGACUGGGAUGGAGCAGAACAGUACUAGGGGAGAGGCUGAGCUGAAUACAUCUGGCUGUGGGGGUUAGGACUGGGAUGGAGCAGGCAGUACCAGGGGAGAGGCUGAGCUGAAUACAGAUGGCUGUGGGGGUUAGGACUGGGAUGGAGCAGGCAGUACCAGGGGAGAGGCUGAGCUGAAUACAGAUGGCUGUGGGGGUUAGGACUGGGAUGGAGCAGGCAGUACCAGAGGAGAGGCUGAGCUGAAUACAGAUGGCUGUGGGGGUUAGGACUGGGAUGGAGCAGGCAGUACCAGGGGAGAGGCUGAGCUGAAUACAGAUGGCUGUGGGGGUUAGGACUGGGAUGGAGAAGGCAGAACAGUACAGCAGUAGAGCAGUCUGUCUAACAGCCAGUCUAACAGACAGCCG
Long non-coding RNA from Oncorhynchus tshawytscha (Chinook salmon), 506 nucleotides. NCBI's taxonomy places the organism in Eukaryota, Metazoa, Chordata, Actinopteri, Salmoniformes, Salmonidae. The record is from Ensembl.